Molecule: ribosomal RNA, 253 nt
Filed under: uncultured bacterium
Lineage: Bacteria
Description: partial 16S ribosomal RNA
Rfam family: Bacterial small subunit ribosomal RNA
Source: RNAcentral
UACGUAGGGUGCAAGCGUUGCUCGGAAUUACUGGGCGUAAAGGGCGCGUAGGCGGCCCUCUAAGUCAGACGUGAAAUCCCCGGGCUCAACCCGGGAACUGCGUCUGAUACUGGAGGGCUUGAAUCCGGGAGAGGGAUGUGGAAUUCCAGGUGUAGCGGUGAAAUGCGUAGAUAUCUGGAGGAACACCGGUGGUGAAGGCGGCAUCCUGGACCGGUAUUGACGCUGAGGCGCGAAAGCCAGGGGAGCAAACGGG